UACGGGGGGAGCAAGCGUUGUUCGGAUUUACUGGGCGUAAAGGGUGCGUAGGUGGCGCGCUAAGUCAGGUGUGAAAUCUCGGGGCUUAACUCCGAAACUGCAUUUGAUACUGGCGUGCUUGAGGACUGGAGAGGAGACUGGAAUUCAUGGUGUAGCAGUGAAAUGCGUAGAGAUCAUGAGGAAGACCAGUGGCGAAGGCGGGUCUCUGGACAGUUCCUGACACUGAGGCACGAAGGCCAGGGGAGCAAACGGG
Molecule: ribosomal RNA, 253 nt
Filed under: uncultured bacterium
Lineage: Bacteria
Description: partial 16S ribosomal RNA
Rfam family: Bacterial small subunit ribosomal RNA
Source: RNAcentral